This 465-nucleotide ribosomal RNA is filed under the name uncultured bacterium. RNAcentral's name for it is "partial 16S ribosomal RNA". It matches the Rfam family "Bacterial small subunit ribosomal RNA", at positions 28 to 507 of the family's 1533-position model. The record is from RNAcentral.
GACGAACGCUGGCGGCGUGCUUAACACAUGCAAGUCGUACGGUAAGGCCCUUUCGGGGGUACACGAGUGGCGAACGGGUGAGUAACACGUGAGUAACCUGCCCACAACUUUGGGAUAACGCUAGGAAACUGGUGCUAAUACUGGAUAUGUGCUCCUGCUGCAUGGUGGGGGUUGGAAAGCUCCGGCGGUUGUGGAUGGACUCGCGGCCUAUCAGCUUGUUGGUGGGGUAGUGGCCUACCAAGGCGGCGACGGGUAGCCGGCCUGAGAGGGUGACCGGCCACAUUGGGACUGAGAUACGGCCCAGACUCCUACGGGAGGCAGCAGUGGGGAAUAUUGCACAAUGGGCGCAAGCCUGAUGCAGCAACGCCGCGUGCGGGAUGACGGCCUUCGGGUUGUAAACCGCUUCCAGCAGGGACGAAGCUUUUUGUGACGGUACCUGCAGAAGAAGCACCGGCUAACUACGUG